GUAGGGGGCUAGCGUUGUCCGGAUUUAUUGGGCGUAAAGAGCGUGUAGGCGGCCAGGUAGGUCCGUUGUGAAAACCCGAGGCUUAACCUCGGGACGUCGAUGGAAACCAUCUGGCUAGAGUCCGGAAGAGGAGAGUGGAAUUCCUGGUGUAGCGGUGAAAUGCGCAGAUAUCAGGAAGAACACCCGUGGCGAAGGCGGCUCUCUGGGACGGUACUGACGCUGAGACGCGAAAGCGUGGGGAGCGAACAGGAUUAGAUACCCUGGUAGUCCACGCCGUAAACGAUGGGUGCUAGGUGUGGGCGGUGUCGACUCCGUCCGUGCCGAAGCUAACGCAUUAAGCACCCCGCCUGGGGAGUACGGCCGCAAGGCUA
RNAcentral lists this ribosomal RNA (371 nucleotides) under uncultured bacterium. RNAcentral's name for it is "bacterial SSU rRNA". It matches the Rfam family "Bacterial small subunit ribosomal RNA", at positions 527 to 896 of the family's 1533-position model. The record is from RNAcentral.